This 238-nucleotide long non-coding RNA is filed under the name Phascolarctos cinereus (koala). Its description in RNAcentral is "lncRNA (ENSPCIG00000018399.2)". Lineage: Eukaryota; Metazoa; Chordata; Mammalia; Diprotodontia; Phascolarctidae. The record is from RNAcentral.
CUUCCCUUCUCUGCCCCGAGAGGGGUGACUGAAAACGGGCUCUCCCUUCUGUGGCCUCUGCUCUGCCCCAGGAGGACAGCCUGGAGGAAGAGGGAAUGGCUCCUGCCCCGAAAGCCAGGCCCGGGAAGGUGAGUGCCACUUGCUGCUUUCCUCAAAUAGCAUCUUAGGCCAGAGACCGUGGGAUAGGUGUCUUUGUCCUGUGCUGUAACACUAGGAAUCGUGGGCAUCAGAGAAUCAU